GACGAACGCUGGCGGCGUGCUUAACACAUGCAAGUGGAGCGACGAACCAGGGCUUGCCCUGGGGCAGGGCCGCGAACGGGUGAGUAACACGUGGGUUACCUACCCCGAUGACCGGGACAACCCGAGGAAACUCGGGCUAAUACCGGAUGUGGUCUUCGGACGAAAGGAAGCUUCGGCCUCCGCAUCGGGGAUGGGCCCGCGGCGCAUUAGCUUGUUGGUGGGGUAACGGCCUACCAAGGCGACGAUGCGUAGCNGGUCUGAGAGGACGAUCAGCCACACUGGGACUGAGACACGGCCCAGACUCCUACGGGAGGCAGCAGUGGGGAAUCUUGCACAAUGCGCGAAAGCGUGAUGCAGCAACGCCGCGUGAGGGAAGACGGCC
Molecule: ribosomal RNA, 382 nt
Filed under: uncultured bacterium
Lineage: Bacteria
Description: bacterial SSU rRNA
Rfam family: Bacterial small subunit ribosomal RNA
Source: RNAcentral